RNAcentral lists this ribosomal RNA (1528 nucleotides) under Klebsiella pneumoniae. RNAcentral describes it as "bacterial SSU rRNA". It matches the Rfam family "Bacterial small subunit ribosomal RNA". Lineage: Bacteria; Pseudomonadati; Pseudomonadota; Gammaproteobacteria; Enterobacterales; Enterobacteriaceae. The record is from RNAcentral.
AGAGUUUGAUCAUGGCUCAGAUUGAACGCUGGCGGCAGGCCUAACACAUGCAAGUCGAGCGGUAGCACAGAGAGCUUGCUCUCGGGUGACGAGCGGCGGACGGGUGAGUAAUGUCUGGGAAACUGCCUGAUGGAGGGGGAUAACUACUGGAAACGGUAGCUAAUACCGCAUAAUGUCGCAAGACCAAAGUGGGGGACCUUCGGGCCUCAUGCCAUCAGAUGUGCCCAGAUGGGAUUAGCUAGUAGGUGGGGUAACGGCUCACCUAGGCGACGAUCCCUAGCUGGUCUGAGAGGAUGGCCAGCCACACUGGAACUGAGACACGGUCCAGACUCCUACGGGAGGCAGCAGUGGGGAAUAUUGCACAAUGGGCGCAAGCCUGAUGCAGCCAUGCCGCGUGUGUGAAGAAGGCCUUCGGGUUGUAAAGCACUUUCAGCGGGGAGGAAGGCGUUAAGGUUAAUAACCUUGUCGAUUGACGUUACCCGCAGAAGAAGCACCGGCUAACUCCGUGCCAGCAGCCGCGGUAAUACGGAGGGUGCAAGCGUUAAUCGGAAUUACUGGGCGUAAAGCGCACGCAGGCGGUCUGUCAAGUCGGAUGUGAAAUCCCCGGGCUCAACCUGGGAACUGCAUUCGAAACUGGCAGGCUAGAGUCUUGUAGAGGGGGGUAGAAUUCCAGGUGUAGCGGUGAAAUGCGUAGAGAUCUGGAGGAAUACCGGUGGCGAAGGCGGCCCCCUGGACAAAGACUGACGCUCAGGUGCGAAAGCGUGGGGAGCAAACAGGAUUAGAUACCCUGGUAGUCCACGCCGUAAACGAUGUCGAUUUGGAGGUUGUGCCCUUGAGGCGUGGCUUCCGGAGCUAACGCGUUAAAUCGACCGCCUGGGGAGUACGGCCGCAAGGUUAAAACUCAAAUGAAUUGACGGGGGCCCGCACAAGCGGUGGAGCAUGUGGUUUAAUUCGAUGCAACGCGAAGAACCUUACCUGGUCUUGACAUCCACAGAACUUUCCAGAGAUGGAUUGGUGCCUUCGGGAACUGUGAGACAGGUGCUGCAUGGCUGUCGUCAGCUCGUGUUGUGAAAUGUUGGGUUAAGUCCCGCAACGAGCGCAACCCUUAUCCUUUGUUGCCAGCGGUUAGGCCGGGAACUCAAAGGAGACUGCCAGUGAUAAACUGGAGGAAGGUGGGGAUGACGUCAAGUCAUCAUGGCCCUUACGACCAGGGCUACACACGUGCUACAAUGGCAUAUACAAAGAGAAGCGACCUCGCGAGAGCAAGCGGACCUCAUAAAGUAUGUCGUAGUCCGGAUUGGAGUCUGCAACUCGACUCCAUGAAGUCGGAAUCGCUAGUAAUCGUAGAUCAGAAUGCUACGGUGAAUACGUUCCCGGGCCUUGUACACACCGCCCGUCACACCAUGGGAGUGGGUUGCAAAAGAAGUAGGUAGCUUAACCUUCGGGAGGGCGCUUACCACUUUGUGAUUCAUGACUGGGGUGAAGUCGUAACAAGGUAACCGUAGGGGAACCUGCGGUUGGAUCACCU